RNAcentral lists this transfer RNA (72 nucleotides) under Dryobates pubescens (Downy woodpecker). Its description in RNAcentral is "Picoides pubescens (downy woodpecker) tRNA". It matches the Rfam family "tRNA". From Rfam's summary of the family: Transfer RNA (tRNA) molecules are approximately 80 nucleotides in length. Their secondary structure includes four short double-helical elements and three loops (D, anti-codon, and T loops). The record is from Rfam by way of RNAcentral. Lineage: Eukaryota; Metazoa; Chordata; Aves; Piciformes; Picidae.
GUGUUGGUGGAAUAGUGGCAAGCAUAGCUGCCUUCCAAGCAGUUGACUUAGGUUUGAUUCCCAGUCAAUACA